AGCGAACGCUGGCGGCAGGCCUAACACAUGCAAGUCGAACGAACUCUUCGGAGUUAGUGGCGGACGGGUGCGUAACACGUGGGAACGUGCCUUUUGGUUCGGAAUAACUCAGGGAAACUUGUGCUAAUACCGAAUGCGCCCUUCGGGGGAAAGAUUUAUCGCCAUUAGAGCGGCCGCGUCUGAUUAGCUAGUUGGUGAGGUAACGGCUCACCAAGGCGACGAUCAGUAGCUGGUCUGAGAGGAUGACCAGCCACACUGGGACUGAGACACGGCCCAGACUCCUACGGGAGGCAGCAGUGGGGAAUCUUGCGCAAUGGGCGAAAGCCUGACGCAGCCAUGCCGCGUGAAUGAUGAAGGUCUUAGGAUUGUAAAAUUCUUUCACCGGGGACGAUAAUGACGGUACCCGGAGAAGAAGCCCCGGCUAACUUCGUG
RNAcentral lists this ribosomal RNA (432 nucleotides) under uncultured bacterium. Its description in RNAcentral is "partial 16S ribosomal RNA". It matches the Rfam family "Bacterial small subunit ribosomal RNA", at positions 29 to 507 of the family's 1533-position model. The record is from RNAcentral.